Long non-coding RNA from Seriola aureovittata, 1359 nucleotides. RefSeq lists it as uncharacterized. The transcript is spliced from 4 exons. The record is from RefSeq and is a predicted model, not a curated record. Lineage: Eukaryota; Metazoa; Chordata; Actinopteri; Carangiformes; Carangidae.
ACAAAAAAAACCACUUCUUUAUAACUAAGAACUGCUCAGUAUAACCCUUUGGAAAGUGUUUCAUCUUCUCACCAACAGGCCACAGCUUGGCUGACAACAGUCAGUCAUUCUUGAACAUAUAUAGGAAUAUAACAUAUGAAUCGUAAGAGAUGCAAUUUUUUCAGAAUGUUUGGGAAAAAGACAUUUUAAUUUCAGUUUAAUUCAUAUGUUGGCCACCUGGGAGCAGUGCAACAACCUAGAAACAAUACUGUGCCUUGCUGUCUUGCGCUCACACCUGACAAGCAUGACAACUUGCCGUACAUAAAUACCCGGGUGUUGCACUCAAAACGGUCUAAAAAUGUGUGAGUGUAAAACGAUGGACACUUCUCACCCCCAUCGGUCACCAUGUUGGCAAUGUACGCAGUGGAAGGGGAAAGACUUUCAAACUUGUGAAAACAGCGACCGAAGAAGAAGGACACAUCGUCGGGCCGAUGACGGCCUAAUUUUUCUAUUUCUCAUGGCACACAUAAGAAAGUAAAUGGUUCAUUUUCAAGUCAAGUGAGCAAAGUGCAGCAGGUGUGUGACAAUUACGGUCACCUGUUUAGAUCGUCAUUUCCGGAUCUGUCUCUUUCACAGCAAUGCUCUUAUGACAUUCGCAACUGAAAGCUGCUCGGUACAACCACAGUCUGACCUGCUGGCCACUGAGCAGCUCCACUGGAUCAGCAAGGGUUAAUGGUCUGGCUCAAGGGCACCACAGUGAUGUUGACAAGGGGACAGAGUGAGACAGAGAGAAGGAGAGACGGGAAGAAGCUGGAAGAAGCUCCCCUCCUGUUUUUCAUCUCAGCGCACACAUCAAACAAAGAUAUCCAUCACACCCACUCCCACCCCCACUUCACUUCCUCUCGCUAUGAACCAGUCACUGUGUGUUUAGCAGUGACAGGGAGUCAUCUUGGCUUCAGGAACCUGAGCUGGUGGCAAAUGCAAGAAGCCAUUGUGGCUCUGACCCACCCUGCAGCCACACACAACCCUCCAACCACCUCUAUUCUACACCAGUUUUCUAUCCUGUAGAAAAAUAACGUAAAGGUGCUAUUCGAUAGCUCAAUUAUGGGAUGCUCCAUCAUAUUUCAGAUUAAAACCCAUUUCUAUUUUGACCGACUUUGUUUCUUUUUAAACCUUAUGGUAAGUGGGUGGUAAAAAAUGCGUGUGGUGUGAAAUGGAUUAAAGGCUUCCCCAGUGCUGCAGAGACUAUUAAUGCAACUGACCAGUCUGCAAAUACAACACAGUGCAUGGGCUUUAAGCUAAACAAUGAAGACAAAAAAACAUUCCACUUGGCUGCACAAUAAUCAAUAAUAAAUUAUCUCUCAAGAACAGAAUAAUUGU